Non-coding RNA from Aegilops tauschii subsp. strangulata, 6466 nucleotides. Lineage: Eukaryota; Viridiplantae; Streptophyta; Magnoliopsida; Poales; Poaceae. The record is from RefSeq and is a predicted model, not a curated record.
CCCUUCUAUCCAACAGGCUCAAUGAGAUGGCCUCGGACGGUGCAUCAACAAACAGAAAAUAUCUGUAUGUUGUAGCAGAAUGUGAAAGGGUGCAACAAAGGUUGGAUGAGAUGACUAAAGAGGAUGAACUUGCAGAAGCGCAACAAGCAAAUGUUGACAAGGACACAACAGAGACUGAUGCAGCACCGCAUCCUGAUGGUUAUGGAGACAAACUUCAAGAUCCUGAUGUUGCAGUGUCAAAAGGGCGUCCACAAAAAGGACGUUACAAAACUUUCAUGGAAAGUUUGGCAUCUAAACAGAAAGUCACAUGCAGUCGGUGUGGGAAGCCUGAUCAUUAUAAAAGUUCUUGUACUGCAAGUACUGAAGAUGUCAAUUUGGCUCAGAGAGAGAAAGUCAGUCGCAAACAAACCUCAGCCUCAUCUGGGACAUCUACGGGCAAGCAACCAGCUGGUGCAAACCCGAGGAGGAAGGCAAGAAAAGAAAAAUGAAAAUUUGGGUGCUGGAAGUUCAAGAAGGCAAAAAAAUAUGCAAGUGAUGACUGGAAAAAUGUAAAUGCACUCAAGUUUUGGUUGUUUGUUGUGCCACUGAACAAAAAACAAGAAGGAACUAUGAUUGUUCAUGCAUGAUAGCACGUUUGCUACUGUUUUAAGACUGUUUUAGGAAAUGCAUAAGUUAUAAAUUUCAGUUGUACUGGUAGACUGGUAGACAAAAACCAGGGAAAGAAUUGCUUUACUGUUGGGGUAGCAACACUGACCUUAACACAGUAGGUUCCUUGAAAUUUUUUCAUCCACUUUUUCGCUUGCGGUGUAGAAGUAGAUUCCGUGUGCCAAAGAAUUUUGAAAUCCUGCACCAAAGAAAUGUUGGGGGGAAAUGAUAGAAACAAAAGAACAAGGGCAAAAAAAUGUUCUCGUUAGUGCCGCUAUAGACGACAUAAUUUUUUUAGAAAAAGAGGGAUACUGAAAAUAAUCAGACUUAAAAGCAUAAAACAAAUUAGAAAAAGAACACUCUAAAACCGAUGUUUCGAUAUUGAUCUGAAAACAAAAUGGGACAUUCCAAAUUGUUUUCUGGUUAAUGACCAGUUUCUACGACACUGCUAUACAACUUGGAUUUGCUUUCAAAUGAAAAAGAAAAAAACAUAUCGUUCCUCCAUGUACACCGGACACUUUUUGAUGUUGUUUAACUUUUGUGAUUGUUUUUGAUCAUCUUGCUAAAGUCCUUUAUUGUAGUAUUCCUCCAUCCAUUACAGAGAAUGUUGCAGUUGGUUGGCCUCCUUGACCUUCUGAAGAAGUACAAAAAAAAGAACUAGUUAGUAACCUCAAAAUGACAUACAAUAACAAAAGGAACUUUGUUUACAGUGGCAAACACAAAAAAAAAAUACACAAAAAUUGGAAAGACAGGAGAAAAAGAUAAACAAUUUUGUAUCACAAGUCAUUGCUAAAAAAAGCAGAAAAACUUUGCUUCAAUGGAAGAAGUAAAAACAUACCAAUUUACCAUGCGAAGUUCUUGACGAGUGUUUUGCCUUGAUCCUCUGUGUUGUGAAUACUAAAUAGAAUGUCAACAACAAAUCUGACCCUUGCGUUUGCUACGUCGUUCAUUGUGAACUGUCGCUGCAGAGGAUUUCGCAAAGCCCAAGUUUGCAUCCAGUUAAGAGCAAAAAUCCCACAAGCGUCACUGUUUUUUUGCAGAAAAUUUAACAACAAAAAUUAAAGAAAAUAUCAAAAAGUAAAAUGAAAAAAACAGUAGUUUCUGAAUUGAUAUUUACACAAAUUAGCUUAUUUUUACCUUCCGAUUUGCUUUGGCAUGUUUGGGUACUCUACACCAAACUUUCUGAAACUCAUUCCUCUCAGAUUAGAAUCUUCCCAUGUUUUUAUGAAAUUGUUUAUCUAGAGACAAUUGAAAAAUGAAUAUGUUUAGGAACACAAAAAUGAAAGGGUGUUGCAUUACCAACUUAAUUUAAAAAAUAACAGAAAAAGAAAAGAUUAGAAAAACUAUUUUAACCAUCAAAUCUCUGAUCCCGAUGUGGAAUGGUGUGUUCCCUUCAUAAUAUGAAUCUAGGAAGACAAACUUUCUUGCUAUAAUGUCAACAACGAACAAGAACCGGUGCUCAUCAUGUACUGACGGAAAGAAGAUCUGCAUUUUUUGGACACACAAUUUGAUUGCAAAAAUUUAAAAACAAAGGAUAAUAAAAACCCAAAAAAUAAAAAAAUUAAUAUAGUUUGGUGUAAUGAAGCAUACACGAUCACUUUCGUGUAGAGGCAAUGCUUUCCCAGCUCCAUUGAAGCUUCUAAGUGUUUUUCUCUUCAUUUCCCUCCUUCCUUCUUCAGAUUUCCAAUUUUCAAGAAAAUAAUCCUGAUUUGUGAAAAAGAACAAAAUUUAAUCAUUGAUCUUCCACCCAAGAAGUCCAGUAAAGUGUUGUACAAAAAAACCCCUAUGUUGAAAAUAUGUUGAGUUGUGCUUGGAUAUGAAAUUUCUUUGUACUUACACCUAGUGUAGUGAAGAAGUAGUGCGUUUUUGAUCUCCUUGGAUGAUUCUCUCGAAAGAGCAUCCGACAGAAAACAUUGAAAACAUAUGCUUCCACGUGACCACUCACACCAAAUGAAUCGCCAAGUUGUCCAAGGAAAAGGCUUGUUUUGUCAAUCAACACAACCACUUUGCUGCAAGUGGUUGAGAACCAGUAUUGUUAGUGAAGGCAACAAAAAUAUCAGAAACCAUUUAAUCAUGGGAAAAAAAGUGGAAAAUCAAAGUGUAGAAAAAAAACCUUCUGUGAGGUUCAACUUUGCUUAGUGCCACUAUGCCCCUGUGUAGCUCUAUCUCAUGUGGCUGAAGAGGUCCUCUCUCGUUGUGAUCAUAUGGUGAGGAGAGCCACUUGCUUGGGUGUGUUAUCCUUUUUGGAGGCAAAUUCUCUUUACCACUUGAUGAAGUGCCUAAUGAUAGCUUCGUGUUGUAUAAAUUGUCCGCCGUGUUUACCAUACUAGAGCAUGAACCAUUGAAUGAUCUUUCCCCCAAAACUUGAACAUCCGGAGACACCUACAAAAAAUCAUAAACACACACAAUUUAUGGUUAGUUUGUGUGACAGCAAAAAAAGAUGAUGCUGCAGAGAAGUAGGUGUCAAAAAGAGCUACAUAAAAAAGAAAGUUGUUCAACAAAUUUACAUGUAGGUAGUCACUUACAGGGAUUGGUUGGUGUUUAGUGCCUUCUUGUUCAUCAUUUUCAUCAAACUCAUCUGAGAAAAGCCUCUUCCCUAAAAUUGCUGUUGUUGAAUAUCUCUGCAAAGUGGCAAAUAAUGUUGAGAGGACGUGUUCAGCAAUCAAUCAAAAAAGAAACCAAAAACACACUUUUACAGGGCAGACUCACACACAUUUAAAAAAAUAGCAGAAUUUAUAAAAAAAGUAAAAAAAAAAGAGGAAAUAAGAACAUAAGCAACAUAACAAAAGAAAUGAUGAUACCUUCUUGUGCUUUUGUGUAGGACUUUCAGCGUUCUCAUUGUUCCAUUUGCCCAUUGGGGAGUAGCAUGUUGUUGCUCUGUCCCAAGUGUGUGACAUGCGUGCAACAGGCGAUGUCUGAAAAAAAAUGUUUUGUUGUAUAUUAUAAUGAAACACAGGAAAAACUAAGGAGAUUAGAAAACAGAAAAAGAGCAAGCGAGAAACGAAGAUAAUUUUUUUGGAAAAAAAGACAUACCAAGUCGAUGAUGCCAUCCUUUUCUUCAAACUGUGGAAGAAAGUCUCUGUACUUGCAAAUGCCUGUGGACACGGGUUGUCUCUGCGCACACUGUAUCGAGGAAUCUCCUUGCACUUCUUGCUCAUCCUUGCUUGCAUUGCAUGGAUAUUUUUUCUUUGCUUCCUACAAUUGUAGAAAUAUAAUUGGGUGUGUAAGAAAAAUGACAACUAAAAAAGGCAAUAGGGGCUAUGGAGAAACAAUUACCUCUAUUUGAGAAUUAUAUUCUUCCGAGUUCAUCUCUAAUGGGCGCCACAAUUCUGGCUCUGUUAUUUGAUUCCCACAAUCAUCAUGGUCUGGAAGAAUUCUGCAGCUAGGUGUUGCAUCAUCUGUGAAGAAGUACUUUUGCCUUGCAAUAUCUAAUGGAUGCAAAGUGUCCUGUAACUCUUUGACAUGUUGUUGCUUAUCGUCUAUCCCGUUGUCAUGUAAAAGAAGAAGAAAAAGGAAAAAAGGCACAAAACAAUGAGAAAAUCACUGCCAGCAAAAGCAUGCAAAACAAGACAAAAAAAUAUUGUCUGAUCAAUAGUAGAAAAAUGAAAAAAUGUAGGCAGUACUGUUUGAUAGUGCUAUGUUGAUAUCUAUAUCAAGUUCAACGCGCUUCUUGUAAUCGCUGACAUUAUUCGCAGUGUUUUGAUCUGAAACAAAUGAACAAAAAACAAGUAAAUGAAGAAACAAAGCAAGUCAAAAAAACUUUAGAAAAACAAGAAACACGUGCUUAGGAGUGCUUCUUGUAAUUCUGAAAUGUGUGAAAGUUUUUCCCUGGAAAAACACCUUUGUCAAUGUUGUUUUGAUGUUCCACACAUUCAGAAACCACUGCUUGCUUCUCAUUUUGUUGCUCCAUGGUACUAGUGUCUAUGCAAUGCUAUGUUCAUAGAAGAAACACAGGUUCAUUUUGUCUAUACAAAAAAAGAACAGACAGAACAACGUCUUUGAAUGAUGACACUAAGACAAACGUCAAAUGAAUUCCUCAGGGGGUGUACCUGUGUUUUAUUGUUGUUAACAGUAUUAUGUUCUAACCCUGUGAAUGUUGUCUGUACAUCUCUGGUGGAUACUUCCUUUGAAUUGUUAACUUGUGUCGUGCUCAUCACUGCUUUUGCCAAUCUAGCUGAUAAUAGCAUGUAGUUCAGGCUAGUGCUUUUCUGUGGUGCUUCUAUUUCAAUAGGACAAGCAUUGACACUGCGCUCGAGGAUGUUGCUAUGUCCAUCCAACAUAUUUGUGUCUUGGUUGUGUUUAGCAGGGCCAACCUUGUUCAUGCUUUCUCCCUGCAACAAAAAAAAAAAUUGAAGUGGUUGGUGUCAGAGUUAUAUGCACCAAGCUAAAAAAGAAAAAAAAUGCGUUGACAAAAAAGAAACAUCCUUACUUGUUGUUGCAGUGCAAUGCAUUCAGCACGCACCGGUUGUCCAACUAUAUGUGUACAUCCUUUACCAAUUUCAGAAUUUACUUCCUGGCAAAUUAGUUUACAGAGUUGCAUGUUAAAUAACAAAAAAAUAAGAAAAAAGGAUAAAAAACGUUAGAUCUUCGGUUUUUAUAUGAAACUAACCAUUUCAUCUAGAUGUUUGUGCUCAUUUAUAGGACCAUUCCAUGGUACUGGUUGCAAUUCAGCUUUGACUCCUUGUGUGUCAACUUCAGGUGUGCUUUGCUGGAGGUGUGACCAUGGGCAUAGUCAUAAAUUUGGUACAGAAAAAAAAUGAACUGAAAAUUACACACGAAAAAUGUGGAUUUAAAAAGACUAAAAAAUAAGAACAAAAAUACCUUUAUUUUAUCUUGCAACAAUACAUCCUUAGUUGUUGAAGUUAUUGACUGCUGUGUACUCGUCUUCAUUCUCUUCUUCCUGCCUCUUUGAUCUGCCACAAAUAUAGUGGGUGUCUUAUUACAGAAAACACAACAUGAAUUAGAACAAGAAAAAAUGCUGUAAUAACAUACCACUGCCAAUUUCAAUCCCAUUAGAAUCAACUCUAAUAGUACUGCCAGACCCAUUAUCUUUGUCGGAUGUGAUGUACAAGUGCUCGGAUGACUCUAACUUCUCUGUAUGUUGAGAGCCAUUAAAAGAAGAAGAGACAACGUUCAAAGUAUCCAGCAACACUUGUUUUGCUAUCAGACAAGUGGUCAGGUUUUGAUCUUUUACACGCUCCUGGAAAUUGAGGAAUAUAUCUUCUUUGAUCUAACAAGCAGAAAAAAAUUCCACAAAAAUAAAUCAAAAAAAAUAUAAAAAGGGGAAACCAAAAUAGCUUAAAUUGGCUGUUGAAGUUGCUCUCUCAACCAACUCUCAUGUAUUUUACCUUAUCUGAAAAAGAGUUGCCUAAGACCCUUUGUAGAGCUUUUUGGAUGUUUGAGUUCUUGGCGGUGCUUGCCCAUGCACCGUCAGUUUCUGCAUAGCAAGUUUCUGCCUCAUCUUUUAUCUGACAAAAAAAUGGAAAACAAUAAACAAACAUAAAAAAGGAGUAGAUGUAAGAAACCAAAAAGAUACGCAUAAAACAGAGGCAAAAAAAUAGCAGAGUAUGAUAAUUACUUGAAGAGCUCCAUAUAAUCCAUCUUUCCCAAUUAGCAUAUCACUGAAAUGUUUAAUGGUUUGUCCUUUCCAAAAACAAACCCUGGGUAGUGCUGGUGGAAUUGUUAUUGAUCCAAAAUUGUUGAAGUCUAGACACCGAACCUGCAAAAUAAACAACAAAAAUACAAAUGCAGCCUUGAGAAUGUUUGAUGAGAGCAGAGUGCUCAUAAAAUAAAAUCAAAUUAACAAAAAGUUUCAUAAAAA